UGGGGAAUUUUGGACAAUGGGCGAAAGCCUGAUCCAGCAAUGCCGCGUGUGUGAAGAAGGCCUUCGGGUUGUAAAGCACUUUUGGCAGGGAAGAAAUCGUGCGUGUUAAUACCAUGCGCGGAUGACGGUACCUGCAGAAUAAGCACCGGCUAACUACGUGCCAGCAGCCGCGGUAAUACGUAGGGUGCAAGCGUUAAUCGGAAUUACUGGGCGUAAAGCGUGCGCAGGCGGCUUUGUAAGACGGAUGUGAAAGCCCCGGGCUCAACCUGGGAAGUGCAUUCGUGACUGCAAGGCUAGAGUGUGUCAGAGGGAGGUGGAAUUCCGCGUGUAGCAGUGAAAUGCGUAGAGAUGCGGAGGAACACCGAUGGCGAAGGCAGCCUCCUGGGAUAACACUGACGCUCAGGCACGAAAGCGUGGGGAGCAAACAGG
This 429-nucleotide ribosomal RNA is filed under the name uncultured Lautropia sp. RNAcentral's name for it is "bacterial SSU rRNA". It matches the Rfam family "Bacterial small subunit ribosomal RNA", at positions 355 to 776 of the family's 1533-position model. The record is from RNAcentral. Lineage: Bacteria; Pseudomonadati; Pseudomonadota; Betaproteobacteria; Burkholderiales; Burkholderiaceae.